This 1024-nucleotide ribosomal RNA is filed under the name Entrophospora claroidea. RNAcentral describes it as "partial 28S ribosomal RNA". It matches the Rfam family "Eukaryotic large subunit ribosomal RNA", at positions 1 to 868 of the family's 3401-position model. Lineage: Eukaryota; Fungi; Glomeromycota; Glomeromycetes; Entrophosporales; Entrophosporaceae. The record is from RNAcentral.
GACCUCAAAUCAGGCAAGAAUACCCGCUGAACUUAAGCAUAUCAAUAAGCGGAGGAAAAGAAACUAACAAGGAUUCCCCUAGUAACGGCGAGUGAAGAGGGAAGAGCUCAAAUUUUAAAUCUGCCUUGUUUCAAGGUCGAGUUGUAAUUUGAAGAAGCGUUUUCUUGGGCUCGCGGCCGGUAGAAGUUCUUUGGAACAGGACAUCAUAGAGGGUGACAAUCCCGUCUGCGACCGGUCGUGCGUUCAUCUACGAUACGCUUUCAAAGAGUCGAGUUGUUUGGGAUUGCAGCUCCAAAUGGGUGGUAAACAUCACCUAAGGCUAAAUAUUGGCGAGAGACCGAUAGCGAACAAGUACCGUGAGGGAAAGAUGAAAAGAACUUUGAAAAGAGAGUUAAACAGUACGUGAAAUUGUUGAAAGGGAAACGAUUGAAGUCAGUCGUGCUGGCGCGAAAUCAACCCUCUCGUUGAGAGGUCACAUGGCGUGGCGAGCCUCAAAACCGUCACGAAGCGUGAACUCUUGGCGAAAAGGAGCACUUUCGUGUCCGCUGGUUAACAUCAAUUUCGAACGUCAUAAAAAGGCUGGAGGGAUGUGGCUCCUUCGGGAGUGUUAUAACCUUUAGCGGAAUGUGGUGGUCGGGAUUGAGGAUUGCAACGAAUACCUUUAGGGCUGUUCCACCUGGCUUCUCUUUGGUAUCCUGGUGACGACAGCUUGCUGACGUUGUUAGGAUUCGCCUUUGAACAGGCUAGAGUGUGAGCAAAUUCGUUAAGGAUGUUAACGUAAUGGCUUUAAACGACCCGUCUUGAAACACGGACCAAGGAGUCUAGCAUAUAUGCGAGUGUUUGAGUGUUGAAACUCGAGCGCGAAAUGAAAGUGAUAUUGGUAAGAUCCUCUUCCCCUCGGGGGAGCGGAGCAUUAUCGACCGAUCUGGAUAUUCUUUGAUAGAUUUGAGUAAGAGCAUAUCUGUUAGGACCCGAAAGAUGGUGAACUAUGCCUGAAUAGGGCGAAGCCAGAGGAAACUCUGGU